Molecule: ribosomal RNA, 253 nt
Filed under: uncultured bacterium
Lineage: Bacteria
Description: partial 16S ribosomal RNA
Rfam family: Bacterial small subunit ribosomal RNA
Source: RNAcentral
UACGGGGGGGGCAAGCGUUGUUCGGAAUUACUGGGCGUAAAGGGCUCGUAGGCGGCCAACUAAGUCGGAUGUGAAAUCCCCAGGCUCAACCUGGGAACUGCAUCUGAUACUGGAUGGCUUGAAUUCGGGAGAGGGAUGCAGAAUUCCAGGUGUAGCGGUGAAAUGCGUAGAUAUUUGGAGGAAUACCGGUGGCGAAGGCGGCAUCCUGGACCGACAUUGACGCUGAGGAGCGAAAGCCAGGGGAGCAAACGGG